Molecule: ribosomal RNA, 406 nt
Filed under: Debaryomyces hansenii
Lineage: Eukaryota; Fungi; Ascomycota; Pichiomycetes; Serinales; Debaryomycetaceae
Description: partial large subunit ribosomal RNA
Rfam family: Eukaryotic large subunit ribosomal RNA
Source: RNAcentral
CACCUUCGGUGUCCGAGUUGUAAUUUGAAGAAGGUAACUUUGGAGUUGGCUCUUGUCUAUGUUCCUUGGAACAGGACGUCACAGAGGGUGAGAAUCCCGUGCGAUGAGAUGCCCAAUUCUAUGUAAAGUGCUUUCGAAGAGUCGAGUUGUUUGGGAAUGCAGCUCUAAGUGGGUGGUAAAUUCCAUCUAAAGCUAAAUAUUGGCGAGAGACCGAUAGCGAACAAGUACAGUGAUGGAAAGAUGAAAAGAACUUUGAAAAGAGAGUGAAAAAGUACGUGAAAUUGUUGAAAGGGAAGGGCUUGAGAUCAGACUUGGUAUUUUGCGAUCCUUUCCUUCUUGGUUGGGUUCCUCGCAGCUUACUGGGCCAGCAUCGGUUUGGAUGGUAGGAUAAUGACUAAGGAAUGUG